CACGUAGGGCGCAAGCGUUGUCCGGAAUUACUGGGCGUAAAGAGCUCGUAGGUGGUUUGUCGCGUUGUUCGUGAAAACUCACAGCUCAACUGUGGGCGUGCGGGCGAUACGGGCAGACUGGAGUACUGCAGGGGAGACUGGAAUUCCUGGUGUAGCGGUGGAAUGCGCAGAUAUCAGGAGGAACACCGGUGGCGAAGGCGGGUCUCUGGGCAGUAACUGACGCUGAGGAGCGAAAGCGUGGGGAGCGAACAGG
RNAcentral lists this ribosomal RNA (253 nucleotides) under uncultured bacterium. RNAcentral describes it as "partial 16S ribosomal RNA". It matches the Rfam family "Bacterial small subunit ribosomal RNA", at positions 524 to 776 of the family's 1533-position model. The record is from RNAcentral.